RNAcentral lists this ribosomal RNA (301 nucleotides) under uncultured bacterium. RNAcentral describes it as "partial 16S ribosomal RNA". It matches the Rfam family "Bacterial small subunit ribosomal RNA", at positions 509 to 807 of the family's 1533-position model. The record is from RNAcentral.
CAGCAGCCACGGGAAUACGUAGGGUGCAAGCGUUAAUCGGAAUUACUGGGCGUAAAGCGUGCGCAGGCGGUUAUAUAAGUCAGAUGUGAAAUCCCCGGGCUCAACCUGGGAACUGCAUUUGAGACUGUAUGGCUAGAGUGUGUCAGAGGGAGGUAGAAUUCCACGUGUAGCAGUGAAAUGCGUAGAUAUGUGGAGGAAUACCGAUGGCGAAGGCAGCCCCCUGGGAUAACACUGACGCUCAUGCACGAAAGCGUGGGGAGCAAACAGGAUUAGAUACCCCAGUAGUCCCUGUCUCUUAUAC